This 774-nucleotide ribosomal RNA is filed under the name uncultured bacterium. RNAcentral's name for it is "bacterial SSU rRNA". It matches the Rfam family "Bacterial small subunit ribosomal RNA", at positions 8 to 796 of the family's 1533-position model. The record is from RNAcentral.
AGAGUUUGAUCAUGGCUCAGGACGAACGCUGGCGGCGUGCCUAACACAUGCAAGUCACGGGGGCUCGCAAGAGCAACCGGCGAACGGGUGCGUAACACGUGAGCAAUCUGCCGUUUUCUGGGGGAUAGCCGGCCCAACGGCCGGGUAAUACCGCAUACGCUCAUCGGGGGACAUCCCCUGGUGAGGAAACCUCCGGGGGAAAACGAGGAGCUCGCGACCUAUCAGCUAGUUGGCGGGGUAACGGCCCACCAAGGCGACGACGGGUAGCUGGUCUGAGAGGAUGGCCAGCCACAUUGGGACUGCGACACGGCCCAGACUCCUACGGGAGGCAGCAGUGGGGAAUAUUGCGCAAUGGACGAAAGUCUGACGCAGCGACGCCGCGUGUGGGAUGAAGCUCUUCGGGGUGUAAACCACUGUUGCCCGGGACGAAUCUCUGGAUUUAUCCAGAUUGACGGUACCGGGUGAGGAAGCACCGGCUAACUCUGUGCCAGCAGCCGCGGUAAUACAGAGGGUGCGAGCGUUGUCCGGAAUCACUGGGCGUAAAGGGUGAGUAGGUGGCUUGGUAAGCGUGUGGUGAAAGCCUGGGGCUCAACCCCAGGUCUGCCAUGCGAACUGUCAGGCUUGAGCAUAGUAGAGGCGGGUGGAAUUCCGGGUGUAGCGGUGGAAUGCAGAUAUCCGGAAGAACACCGGUGGCGAAGGCGGCCCGCUGGGCUAUUGCUGACACUGAAUCACGACAGCGUGGGGAGCAAACAGGAUUAGAUACCCUAGUAGUCC